AUUGAACGCUGGCGGCAGGCCUAACACAUGCAAGUCGAACGGUAACAGGAAACAGCUUGCUGUUUCGCUGACGAGUGGCGGACGGGUGAGUAAUGUCUGGGAAACUGCCUGAGGGAGGGGGAUAACUACUGGAAACGGUAGCUAAUACCGCAUAACGUCGCAAGACCAAAGAGGGGGACCCUCGGGCCUCUUGCCAUCGGAUGUGCCCAGAUGGGAUUAGCUUGUUGGUGGGGUAACGGCUCACCAAGGCGACGAUCCCUAGCUGGUCUGAGAGGAUGACCAGCCACACUGGAACUGAGACACGGUCCAGACUCCUACGGGAGGCAGCAGUGGGGAAUAUUGCACAAUGGGCGCAAGCCUGAUGCAGCCAUGCCGCGUGUAUGAAGAAGGCCUUCGGGUUGUAAAGUACUUUCAGCGGGGAGGAAGGGAGUAAAGUUAAUACCUUUGCUCAUUGACGUUACCCGCAGAAGAAGCACCGGCUAACUCCGUG
This 490-nucleotide ribosomal RNA is filed under the name uncultured bacterium. RNAcentral's name for it is "partial 16S ribosomal RNA". It matches the Rfam family "Bacterial small subunit ribosomal RNA", at positions 30 to 507 of the family's 1533-position model. The record is from RNAcentral.